UCAUAGUUUCGUGUAUAUCUAUUUGAAGCGAAAGGUGUCGAAGGAAAAGUCAAAACUUUCGUAGUAAUCGAGAAACAUAGUCAAAUUUGGAUCAUUCACGAUUCGGACCCCAGAAUUUUCAGUUGGUUCUUCUUGGUAACUAGGUCGUACCGAUCCAACACCGUGCAUCCAUCUCUUCUAAGCACUUUCGGAAGUGCACUAGCAUUCGAUAGAUCCAACCGGCCCCGUUCUCCUCUUCCACCCCGUUGCCUAGUACCGCGGAAUGAGAAGGUCUCUUCUCUCACGAUCUCGAAUCUCAUCGACGAAACGUUACGAUUGAAAAUAAAAUUAUUCAACCGUUUUAGUCGCUAGUCGAAUUUCAGGAUUCGAGUCUAGCUGGAAAUCGUCGGCGGUCCACGGGGUUCUUCUCAACUCGUCCGUAAACCGCACACUCGCGAGCCACGAAAACCACUCUCGUUAUUUACACCAACCGAGAUGAUACUACUAUAUAGGCACACACAGUUCGAGCGUGCAACAAAACCGCGUUGUCGCAUCGAUCAACAACGGCUAUGGUACCUAUAAACGAACGAAACGUAAGUAACAGACGUAUAUAUACGUAUAGGUUGUUUCAAAAACGCAUGUCAAUACUUCAGGAGUAUAUUUGCACAUUCGAACGGAUCGAAAAUGUCAUAUGAUUAUUUGCCAUGCGACAAUUUUUACCUAUUUUAAUGCGUAAACUUACCCCCUGAAGUGUUGGCACGUAUUUAUGAAAAAACAUCCCUGUCAUCAAAAAAGGAAAUGCGUUUCCAAUCGAAAAUAAAUAGACGAUGAUUUUGCUGAUACGAUAGUUAUUAAAAAUACACUUCGAUCAGAUAAUAGAUAAUGAAUGUGAUGGUGGGGAUAGAGGAAGGUAAAAGAAAGAAGGAACGGAACGAAUCGAUUGGCUAGCUUCGUCGAAGGAAGAUGGCUAAUUAGGAUGUAAUUAAAAUUAAAUCGGCCGGGCCAUCGGCUACCAUCAGCGCGAGCGAUGCUCGCGUUUUAGUCGUGAAUAUCGAGAGAAAUGGAGGAAGAGGAGGAGGAGGAGAUGAAGGCGGUGGGCUAGGGGGAGAGUUAAGAGAAAAAAGGACGAUGAAAAAGAUAGAAAAAGAGAUAGAAGGGAGUGGGUGGUAGGUGGAUCUCGUCCGCCAUAUUCUAACUCCAGCAUCGCCAUCGCCAUUGGCAGUAGCAGCAACAGCAUUCUCUCUCUCGCGGGCUAUCGUAUUAUUAAUAAAAUAUUAUAUAACGCUUUAUAUAAAAAAAAGAGAAAAGGAAAAAGGAGAAGGAGAGAGAGA
Molecule: long non-coding RNA, 1310 nt
Organism: Polistes canadensis
Lineage: Eukaryota; Metazoa; Arthropoda; Insecta; Hymenoptera; Vespidae
Exons: 2
Source: RefSeq, a predicted model, not a curated record